This 151-nucleotide ribosomal RNA is filed under the name uncultured bacterium. RNAcentral's name for it is "partial 16S ribosomal RNA". It matches the Rfam family "Bacterial small subunit ribosomal RNA", at positions 363 to 507 of the family's 1533-position model. The record is from RNAcentral.
UUUUCUCAAUGGGGGAAACCCUGAAGGAGCGACGCCGCGUGAGGGAUGAAGGUCUUCGGAUUGUAAACCUCUGUCAUCUGGGAACAAUGCGCUCUACCUAACACGUGGAUCGUGGAUAGUACCGGAAGAGGAAGCCGUGGCUAACUCUGUG